AUCAUACAUUCUGUUAUGAAGAUUUCAAUCUAAAAUUCACUGCAGUAGUUAAUGGAUUCUGUUGUUGACAAUCAUUGAUACGUUGCUGUUUCUAUGAUAUCACCAGGAUUACAUGCAUUUGAUAUCACUAUCUAUAUAACAUCAAAUGUAGACACUGCAUGCUUUAUUGUGGACAUUUACAGAAGGUCCAUGCCUACCGGCGUGGAUUUGUGUAUAGAAUUUUAUGACUUCAUCUUCUAACCUCUGUUGCAUGAUGAUGAUUCUUCAACCAGAGUAUUUUGUCCAUUCCUGAAUGAUACCAAGAUCAUCAUAGAUAUUCUUGAAAUCACCAGAAGACUUACCUUGAAGCUUAUAAUACUUAUCACAAACCUCAUUGUAAGAGAGAAAGCCAAGCCUCAGAAACUUCGGAUGGAUAGAAUGGGAUAGCACUUUCAUUGGAAAUUCUGGAGGAUUUGGUGGAAGAAGUAUGCCACUUUAGUAUCUGAUUCUAAUACUUGCCAGUUUGAUAAAGCUAAUUAGUAAAUAUAUGUAAUAGAUAUAAUAUGUAUGUUCAAACUGUGUAUAGAAGUAAUUAAUGGUGAUUGCUUGGAGUUUACUUUUUCUAUUUUCA
Molecule: long non-coding RNA, 610 nt
Organism: Pistacia vera
Lineage: Eukaryota; Viridiplantae; Streptophyta; Magnoliopsida; Sapindales; Anacardiaceae
Exons: 2
Source: RefSeq, a predicted model, not a curated record